This 78-nucleotide transfer RNA is filed under the name Mycobacterium sp. THAF192. RNAcentral describes it as "tRNA-Ser". Lineage: Bacteria; Bacillati; Actinomycetota; Actinomycetes; Mycobacteriales; Mycobacteriaceae. The record is from RNAcentral.
CGACGGAUGGGCGGGCGUCGCGGCCCCCGAGGGUUGGAGUCGCUCGGACACCGAGCGGAUCCGCACCGCGCUCGACGC